CCCUGCACUUCGGGAUAAGCUUGGGAAACUGGGUCUAAUACCGGAUAGGAGCCAUCUUUAGUGUGGUGGUUGGAAAGUUUUUCGGUGUAGGAUGAGCUCGCGGCCUAUCAGCUUGUUGGUGGGGUAAUGGCCUACCAAGGCGGCGACGGGUAGCCGGCCUGAGAGGGUGUACGGCCACAUUGGGACUGAGAUACGGCCCAG
RNAcentral lists this ribosomal RNA (201 nucleotides) under uncultured Actinomycetales bacterium. Its description in RNAcentral is "partial 16S ribosomal RNA". It matches the Rfam family "Bacterial small subunit ribosomal RNA", at positions 129 to 334 of the family's 1533-position model. Lineage: Bacteria; Bacillati; Actinomycetota; Actinomycetes; Actinomycetales. The record is from RNAcentral.